Molecule: ribosomal RNA, 395 nt
Filed under: uncultured bacterium
Lineage: Bacteria
Description: bacterial SSU rRNA
Rfam family: Bacterial small subunit ribosomal RNA
Source: RNAcentral
UGGGGAAUAUUGGACAAUGGGGGAAACCCUGAUCCAGCAAUGCCGCGUGAGUGAAGAAGGCCUUAGGGUUGUAAAGCUCUUUCGCCCGCGAAGAUAAUGACGGUAGCGGGAGAAGAAGCCCCGGCUAACUCCGUGCCAGCAGCCGCGGUAAUACGGAGGGGGCUAGCGUUGUUCGGAAUUACUGGGCGUAAAGCGUACGUAGGCGGAUGCGCAAGUUGGGGGUGAAAUCCCGGGGCUUAACCUCGGAAUUGCCCUCAAAACUGCACGUCUUGAGACCGAGAGAUGUAAGGGGAAUUCCUAGUGUAGAGGUGAAAUUCGUAGAUAUUAGGAAGAACACCAGUGGCGAAGGCGCCUUACUGACUCGGUACUGACGCUGAGGUACGAAAGCGUGGGGA